RNAcentral lists this ribosomal RNA (253 nucleotides) under uncultured microorganism. Its description in RNAcentral is "partial 16S ribosomal RNA". It matches the Rfam family "Bacterial small subunit ribosomal RNA", at positions 524 to 776 of the family's 1533-position model. The record is from RNAcentral.
UACGGAGGGUGCGAGCGUUAUUCGGAAUCACUGGGCGUAAAGGGCGCGUAGGCGGCCUGGUAAGUCAGGGGUGAAAUCCCACGGCUCAACCGUGGAAUUGCCUUUGAAACUGCUGGGCUUGGAUCCUGGAGAGGGUGGCGGAAUUCCUGGUGUAGGAGUGAAAUCCGUAGAUAUCAGGAGGAACACCGGUGGCGAAGGCGGCCACCUGGACAGGUAUCGACGCUGAGGCGCGAAAGUGUGGGGAGCAAACCGG